Molecule: transfer RNA, 62 nt
Filed under: Ictidomys tridecemlineatus (thirteen-lined ground squirrel)
Lineage: Eukaryota; Metazoa; Chordata; Mammalia; Rodentia; Sciuridae
Description: Spermophilus tridecemlineatus (thirteen-lined ground squirrel) tRNA
Rfam family: tRNA
About the family: Transfer RNA (tRNA) molecules are approximately 80 nucleotides in length. Their secondary structure includes four short double-helical elements and three loops (D, anti-codon, and T loops). Further hydrogen bonds mediate the characteristic L-shaped molecular structure. tRNAs have two regions of fundamental functional importance: the anti-codon, which is responsible for specific mRNA codon recognition, and the 3' end, to which the tRNAs corresponding amino acid is attached (by aminoacyl-tRNA synthetases). tRNAs cope with the degeneracy of the genetic code in two manners: having more than one tRNA (with a specific anti-codon) for a particular amino acid; and 'wobble' base-pairing, i.e. permitting non-standard base-pairing at the 3rd anti-codon position.
Source: Rfam by way of RNAcentral
GGGGUUGUGGCUCAGUGGCAGAGCGCUUGCCUAGCAUGUAUGAGGCACUGAGUUCAACCCUA